RNAcentral lists this ribosomal RNA (497 nucleotides) under uncultured bacterium. RNAcentral's name for it is "partial 16S ribosomal RNA". It matches the Rfam family "Bacterial small subunit ribosomal RNA", at positions 28 to 507 of the family's 1533-position model. The record is from RNAcentral.
GAUGAACGCUGGCGGCGUGCCUAAUACAUGCAAGUCGAGCGAACGGACGAGAAGCUUGCUUCUCUGAUGUUAGCGGCGGACGGGUGAGUAACACGUGGAUAACCUACCUAUAAGACUGGGAUAACUUCGGGAAACCGGGGCUAAUACCGGAUAAUAUUUUGAACCGCAUGGUUCAAAAGUGAAAGACGGUCUUGCUGUCACUUAUAGAUGGAUCCGCGCUGCAUUAGCUAGUUGGUAAGGUAACGGCUUACCAAGGCAACGAUGCAUAGCCGACCUGAGAGGGUGAUCGGCCACACUGGAACUGAGACACGGUCCAGACUCCUACGGGAGGCAGCAGUAAGGAAUCUUCCGCAAUGGGCGAAAGCCUGACGGAGCAACGCCGCGUGAGUGAUGAAGGUCUUCGGAUCGUAAAACUCUGUUAUUAGGGAAGAACAUAUGUGUAAGUAACUGUGCACAUCUUGACGGUACCUAAUCAGAAAGCCACGGCUAACUACGUG